ACUCCUACGGGAGGCAGCAGUGGGGAAUAUUGCACAAUGGGCGCAAGCCUGAUGCAGCCAUGCCGCGUGUAUGAAGAAGGCCUUCGGGUUGUAAAGUACUUUCAGCAGUGAGGAAGGUGGAGUCGUUAAUAGCGGCCUCAUUUGACGUUAGCUGCAGAAAGAAGCACCGGGCUAAACUCCGUGCCAGCUAGCCGCGGGUAAUACGGAGGGUGCGAGCGUUAAUCGGAAUUACUGGGCGUAAAGCGCAUGCAGGUGGUUUGUUAAGUCAGAUGUGAAAGCCCGGGGCUCAAGCCUCGGAAUUGCAUUUGAAAUCUGGCAGACUAGAGUACUG
RNAcentral lists this ribosomal RNA (331 nucleotides) under uncultured bacterium. RNAcentral's name for it is "bacterial SSU rRNA". It matches the Rfam family "Bacterial small subunit ribosomal RNA", at positions 335 to 651 of the family's 1533-position model. The record is from RNAcentral.